AGUCGCUAUCCCAGCGAUCCCAGUCGGUUUCUAGCGUGCUUUGCGGUUGGCCGUUGCCGCGUAUGUCGUAGCAGCGCUCUUUGUGCGCCUUGAAGGGUGCUUCAAGUCAAUCUGUUCUCAUCUUUUGAACUAUGAAGCGUGUGUCUGUGGCUGUUGAUCGUUCCGGUAUCAAAAGACCACGUGUGCACCGGUCAGCACCGCGGCCACGUGAUGCACCAACUGAACCUGCCGGUGUGAGCUGAACACUCCGCUGUGGAGCACCAGAUGAACCUGCCGGCGUAAGCUGAAUGCCCUGCUUUGGAGCACUGUCCAUGGCGGCGGCAGCUGAACGCUCUGCUGUGGAGGGGCAUCAAUGUGCACUCCUGCAUGCAGGAGUUUUUCAGGACGAGGAAGUAGAACCAAAGACUGAACAUGAGUCCUGGUGGAUGUGACAUCCGUCUAUCUCCAAGGUUUCCUCGAACUGCCCGUCCAGUCUGAUGCAAUCGUUGAGAAGGUUUCCUCGAACUGCCCGUGUAGCCUAAUGGAAUCGUUGAGAAGGGUUUCUGCAGUGCUUCGUCUACCUUAGUGGGCUUUCUGCACUGCGUUGUCUACUCUAGUGGGUUGCUUGGCACUUCCCAUGAAGAGUGCAAAAGUGGUUUUGGUCAUCGUUCCUACAAGUACCAUGGAUGCCAGCCACUGCAUCUUCACAAAUGGCUUUUGAUGAAAUAAAAAGUUUUCGUUCA
Molecule: long non-coding RNA, 722 nt
Organism: Dermacentor albipictus
Lineage: Eukaryota; Metazoa; Arthropoda; Arachnida; Ixodida; Ixodidae
Source: RefSeq, a predicted model, not a curated record